RNAcentral lists this transfer RNA (70 nucleotides) under Camelus bactrianus (Bactrian camel). It matches the Rfam family "tRNA". From Rfam's summary of the family: Transfer RNA (tRNA) molecules are approximately 80 nucleotides in length. Their secondary structure includes four short double-helical elements and three loops (D, anti-codon, and T loops). Further hydrogen bonds mediate the characteristic L-shaped molecular structure. tRNAs have two regions of fundamental functional importance: the anti-codon, which is responsible for specific mRNA codon recognition, and the 3' end, to which the tRNAs corresponding amino acid is attached (by aminoacyl-tRNA synthetases). tRNAs cope with the degeneracy of the genetic code in two manners: having more than one tRNA (with a specific anti-codon) for a particular amino acid; and 'wobble' base-pairing, i.e. permitting non-standard base-pairing at the 3rd anti-codon position. Lineage: Eukaryota; Metazoa; Chordata; Mammalia; Artiodactyla; Camelidae. The record is from Rfam by way of RNAcentral. RNAcentral also lists the same sequence under 2 other names.
GGAUAUAGCUCAAGUGGUAGAGCUGCAUGCUUAGCAUGCAGGGUCCUGGGUUCAAUCCCUAGUACAUCCU